UGGGGAAUAUUGGGCAAUGGAGGCAACUCUGACCCAGCAACGCCGCGUGAGGGAAGAAGGUUUUCGGAUUGUAAACCUCUGUCCUAGGGGAUGAAGAAAGUGACGGUACCCUAGGAGGAAGCCCCGGCUAACUACGUGCCAGCAGCCGCGGUAAUACGUAGGGGGCGAGCGUUGUCCGGAAUUACUGGGCGUAAAGGGUGCGUAGGCGGUUUGGUAAGUUAGAUGUGAGAGCCCCGGGCUUAACUCGGGAGUUGCAUUUAAAACUGCUGAACUAGAGUGCAGGAGAGGAAAGCGGAAUUCCUAGUGUAGCGGUGAAAUGCGUAGAUAUUAGGAGGAACACCAGUGGCGAAGGCGGCUUUCUGGACUGUAACUGACGCUGAGGCACGAAAGCGUGGGGAGCGAACA
This 405-nucleotide ribosomal RNA is filed under the name uncultured prokaryote. RNAcentral describes it as "bacterial SSU rRNA". It matches the Rfam family "Bacterial small subunit ribosomal RNA", at positions 355 to 774 of the family's 1533-position model. The record is from RNAcentral.